CGGCAGGCUUCAUACAUGCAAGUCGAGGGGCAGCAUAAAUUACUUGUAAUUUGAUGGCGACCGGCGAACGGGUGCGUAACGCGUAUGCAACUUACCUUUUACUAGAGAAUAGCCAAGAGAAAUUUUGAUUAAUGCUCUAUGUUCUUAUUUACUCGCAUGAGUAAAUAAGCAAAGCUCCGGCGGUAAAAGAUGGGCAUGCGUCCUAUUAGCUUGUAGGUGAGGUAAUGGCUCACCUAAGCUCCGAUAGGUAGGGGUCCUGAGAGGGAGAUCCCCCACACUGGUACUGAGACACGGACCAGACUUCUACGGAAGGCAGCAGUAAGGAAUAUUGGACAAUGGAGGCAACUCUGAUCCAGCCAUGCCGCGUGAAGGAAGACGGCCUUAUGGGUUGUAAACUUCUUUUAUACAGGAAGAAACCUUUCCACGUGUGGAAAGCUGACGGUACUGUAAGAAUAAGGAUCGGCUAA
RNAcentral lists this ribosomal RNA (467 nucleotides) under uncultured bacterium. Its description in RNAcentral is "bacterial SSU rRNA". It matches the Rfam family "Bacterial small subunit ribosomal RNA", at positions 40 to 500 of the family's 1533-position model. The record is from RNAcentral.